AAGAGGGUUUAAGAAAUUAGCUGCUAACUAAAUUUUAAAGCAAUAUAAAUAUUUGUUUACCUCUUA
Molecule: transfer RNA, 66 nt
Filed under: Limassolla sp. XZ-2020
Lineage: Eukaryota; Metazoa; Arthropoda; Insecta; Hemiptera; Cicadellidae
Description: tRNA-Ser
Source: RNAcentral